CUGACGAUAACUGCGACUACUCAAAAAUUCUGAUUAUUUUGUACAGUUCAUUUACAAAUUCAGCUGCAUAAAUGUUAAACACAUGCUCGACAUCAACACCAACUGUAUAUGCCCUUAGCCACAGAUCUUUCAUUUUUAGCUUCACCUCCGUUAAUAUCCUCUCAACGAGAGACACGUACUUGAAUCCACUAGGCACGAAAAGUUCAAAUGUUCUCGGUUACAAAUACGUUCACUGAGUCCCUAUCUGUAUCCAAACAACAAUAUAGUAUACAACGUAAGUUGCUAUGAUCGGAGAAGCCAUUUCUACAUAUUGAUCAAAGUUGUCAACAACAAAUCAGUUCUAUAUAUAUAUAUAUAUAUAUAUAUAUAUAUAUAUAUAUAUAUAUAUAUAUAUAUAUAUAUAUAUAUAUAUAUAUAUAUACACACAAACACACACACACAACCUUAAUACCGGUACAUAACAUCAUGUGCUGUCAAUUAGAAUAUAUAUCGAUAUUAUAGCAUUUACCAGAGUUUUUAACACAACCACAAAUUUUUGACCUAACCAAUAUGUUAAUGUAUAUAUAACAGUAAAAAAAAAAAAAAGGAAUUUGUUGUUUCUUUAUAGGCAUAUAUGAAUUUUCCCUUUUUCAAAUUAGGUACAUUAUCCACCGCUGCUUUGUAUUGUAUCCAGCGUCCCAGCCCCCACUGAUAUGACAUAUUGAACUUUGCAAAAACAUACAAAGGCGCAAACCAGACCCUAUAUCUCUCACUCGGGCGGCUCCGCCACUGAAGUGUCCGUGACCUACUGCCGCCAAGUGGCCGAGCUUCCGUCGUCCGCCACUUCUAGCCUGCCAGUCCCGCCACUGUGUGAGUGAGCCUCUUUUCUUCUUUCUUUAUUUCUUUUUUUCUUUUUUUUUUUAAGUUCAUUUUUUAUGCAAUUGGAGAAUGAUUUGUGACCUUCUAUAGGUUUGAUUUACUUUGGGUAUGCUUCAUUUUCUAGUCUUCUUGUUUUGGGUUUUUAUCUAAUUGACUUUUUUAAUUAUUAAUUUCUUGAUUGAUAGAUAGUAUUUUUAUUAAUUUUUUACGUUACUCACCUCUUUCUGUUGACUUGUUCAUUUCUUUUUUCAAGAUUUAAUCCUUUAUGUUACUUAUAUAGUUAGGAUUUGAAUACUGGAAAAAUCAAGAAAUUAGACAUUUUAAGAAUGUUUCAAUUUUCUUGUGUUGCCUUCUAUUAAUAUAAUAAUGUUUUAGCUUAUUUUGGGACAACAAAAAAAAAAGGGAGAAGUAAAGCUAAAUUUGCUACGUGUAACGAGUAGUUCACAAAUUAUUAGCCACUUCAAUCAACAAAACCAGGAUUAAUAAUGAACAAAAAUAAACUGAAAGUAAUGUAAAGAACACGAUAUUUUUCGCCCUAAGGCAAUAGGUUCAUAACUGGAAUUGCUAAUCCCCUUUUGUGCUUCCACCACCGGAAGAAUUCAUUGAAUUAACUAGAAUUAUGAACUGUCCAACACUUACAGAUCUAAGUCCCAAGCCAAGAAUCACUCAAGAUUACCGAUAACCCUCACAAUAUUGCCUCAACAGUUCACUCAAGAACAGUAGUGUGAAAUCGGUCCGUAUACAAAUCACCCAAGACAAGUAUUACAAGAUUUCACAAAAUGGAAUCGAUAACUAAAUGAUUUCUACACAGAUUUGUGAAGGAAAAAUAUGGCACUUAGAAAAUAUGAAGAUUAUUCUUCAGCCGCUUUGAGAGAGAGAGAGACAGAGACCAAGAGAUGAAGAGAAAAAGAAAAAUCUGCUAACCCUAGAUUCAAGAGACCCGUAUAUAGGAAGUCUCCAGAAUGUCUCUAUCCAAUGGCCAUGAAGGUGACACUUGUCAUCAUCAAAUUUGUCUAACCCAUUAGUAAAAACGUAUUGCUAGAAAAACACAUUUUUAAUUCAAAACCAUCAAUUUCUAUUUCAGCCUGCACAGUUCACUUUCAUUUAGUAGAGAAGCCAGUCAAAGUCCAUAAGCAGCUGGUCCAGUUAGCAGGUCAAGAUAGCCACAUCAUUGUGCCACAUUUCCUUACAAUCUCCACCUUGGUACAAUGAUUCCAGUUUUAUGCAAUAAGUUCUCCAGACAUGGUAUCAUUUGCACUUAUUCCUGAUACACAAAUCAGCAAACGUUAAUAUUUAACUGUUUUAAACAGUCCAGAAAAUUGUUUAAAGGCAACACUUUAGUUCAAAUUGUGUAGAAAUCUUAGUUUAACAAUGUAGAAAUCUUUUCAAGUUUAACAACACCUUGAGAAAUUACAUCUCUAAUAAAAUAAAAUUUCACAUCAACAUGUUUUGAUCGAUUAUGUAGCACGGGAUUUCUACUCAAAUAUUUAGCAGACUGACUAUUAGAAUGUAAAACAUCAUUUAUGAAACCAAAUUUAUUUAAAAGUCCUUUUAGCCAAAUUCCUUCUUUAAUAGCAUCAGUUACAACUAUAUAUUCAGCUUCAGUUGAAGAUAAAGCAACAAUCUUUUGUAAUUGUGGUUUUCAGCUUAUACAGGAAUUACAUAAAGUGUACACAUAGGUAGAAGUUGAUUUUCUAUGGUCCUUAUCGCCUGUAUAAUCAGAAUCUGUGUGACCCCUCAAGAUAACACCUUCAUAUUACUUUUUAUACUCAAUUCCUAGGUCACAAGUUCCUUUUAUAUAUCUUAGAAGGCACUUCAUAGCUUUCCAAUGAACCUCACCAAGAUUGGACAUGUAUCUACUCAAUACACGUAUUGCAAAUGCUAAAUCAUGCCUAGAACAGAUCAUUAGAUACAUAACUGACCCCACAGCAUUAGAAUAUGGUACUCUAGCCAUUCUGUUAAACUCUUCUUCAGUUUUGGGAGAUUGGUCAUUAGAUAAUUUGAAGUGAUUUGCUAAAGGUAAACUCACACUUUUAGCAUUAGACAUUGCAAAUCUUUCAAGUGUUUUCAAAGCAUAAGAUUUUUUAUUUAGACUUAUUAUGCCCUUUCUUCUAUUUCUUUUAAUUUUGAUACCCAAAAUUUUUCUAACAAGACCUAAGUCCUUCAUUUCAAAUUCAGAUUUUAGUUUAUCUUUAAUUAACUUUAUUUCCUUUAUGUCAUGACUAGCUAAAAUCAUGUCAUCCACAUAAAGUAGAAGAUAAAGUGAAUUCUCACCUCCGUUUCCUUUACAAUAAAGACAAGCAUCGAAAUUACUUCUUUUAAAACCAAGUCCAAGUACAAAAGUGUCAAAUCUCUUGUACCAUUGUCUUGGAGCUUGUUUUAAAUCAUAAAGUGACUUUUUAAGAAGACAUACUAAGUCAGAAUUUUUAUUCACUUCAAAGCCUUUAGGUUGUUCCAUAAAAAUGGUUUCUUCAGGAUCUCCAUUUAAAAACGCAGUUAUGCCAUCUAAUUGAUCCAAUUCCCAAUUAAAUUGAGCUGUACGGGCAAGUAUGACUCUAACAGUUGCAAAUUUUACAACGGGGGAAAAUAUUUCCUUGAAGUCUAUCCCUUCCUUUUGAGCAAAACCCUUAGCCACAAGUCUUACCUUAUAUCUAAUGUCGUUCUCACAUUUUUCACCUCUUUUGAUCUUAUAGAUCCACUUGCAAUCUAUAACUCUCUUUCCCUUAGGUCUCUCGACUAAGGUCCAAGUUUUAUUCUUUCUCAAAGAUUCCAUCUCAUCAUGCAUUGCAGCAAGCCAAUGCUUAGAGUCCCUGCUACUCAUAGCAUAUUUUAUAGGACUCGGGUUCAUUCUCAAUGAACCCCUUAAUAGUAAGAAAGGACAUUUCAUCAUCAAACCUCACAGGUGGUCUUAUUUGUCUCCUUUCUCUAUCUCUAGCAAGUUGAUAAUCAUUUAAAGAUUGAUUUGCUUCAAAAUCAGAUUUAUUCAGAUCAGUUUCAUUAGUAUUUUGAACCACAAUUUCACUAAUUUCAAACUAAUCAAGUUGUAGAUUAUCAUUAUUAACUUACUCCACUCAAUUUCAAUUUCUCUCCCUUCAUUUUCAAUCUGACCAGAAUUAGUUAUGUUAUUUUCAGAUUUCAAACAGGGCAUAUCACAUUCAUUAAACACCACAUUUCUACUCAAAAUGAUCUUAUAACCUUUGGUCUCUUUUACCCAAAGUCUAUACCCUUCACCCAUUCAUCAUAGCCCAAGAAAACACACUUUAGAGCUUUAUGUUCAAGUUUUCCUUCAGAUUGGUGUGCAAAUGCUGCACAACCAAAUAUUUUUAGAUUUCUCAAAUCCACAGGUUUUCCUGUCCAUACUUCUUCAGGUGAUUUGAAUUGUAUAGCACUAGCAAGGCUUCUAUUUAUGAGAUAACUAGCAGUUUUUGCAGCUUCUCCCCAAAAUAACUUGGGAAGACCAGAAUCUAGUAACAUACAUCUAACUCUUUCAAGAAUAGUUCGGUUCAUUCUUUCAGCCAAGCCAUUUUGUUGUGGGGUGUGUGUCACUGUUCUAUGACUUAGAAUACCAUGCCCUUUGCACAAUUCAUCAAAUUCAUAAUUGCAAAAUUCCAGCCCGUUAUCAGUCCUCAACACUUUAAUCUUUUUAUUUAUUUGAAUUUCAAUCAAGAUUUUCCAUUCUUUAAAAGCAUUAAAAGUGUCAGACUUAUGUUUAAGUAGAAAGAGCCAGUUUUUCCUAGAAAAAUCAUCUAUGAUUAAAAGGAAAAAUCUAAAACCAGUAUGUGUGGGCAUAGAAGCUGGUCCCCAAAGAUUAGCAUGCAAAUACUCAAGAAUAGACACAUAUUUAUGCAUCCCAGGCAGAAAUGGUAGUCUAUUUUGUUUUCCUAGUAUGCAAUGAUAGCAAAAACUAAGUUUCUCAAUUAUAUCUUUACCAAAGGCACCUUGUUUUUUCAAAAUCUGCAAGCCUUUGUCACUAAUAUGGCCUAAUCUUUUAUGCCAUAGUUAUAACUUGUCAUUGGGGGUAGAAAUUGCUACUAAUGUGGAGUCAAAAAAGUUUUGAGUACAUAAAAUGUAAAGCCCAUGUCUCUUGGGGGCUUCGACAACAAGUUAAGAGCCCCUCAAGAUUUUAUUGUAUUCCUUGUUAAUCACAAUAUUAUAGUUCAGGUUAUCUAAGACACCUAAGGAUAUGAGAUUUCUUUGUAGGUCAGGAACAUACCUGGUUUUUUCUAAAGUCAAUUCAUUAUUAUCACCAAACCUUAAGGUGAUUGUUCCUAUUCCUUUUACCUGACAAGACAUGUGAUUAUCCAUUAACACUUGGCCUCCAUUUACAUUUUCAAACUCGAUAAACCACUCUCUUUUAGGACACAUAUGAAAGGUGUAACCUGAGUCCAGGAUCCACUCCUGACUAGGUGAACUGUGUAUAGCAACAUAAACCUCGUCUACAUUGUACUCAUUUUUAUAAGCCAAGGCACCACCACCAUCAUUAUUAGACUUAUUUUUCAAGUCAUUAAGUCUCUUAUGGCAAUCUUUGAUUAAAUGACCUUCACCUAGACAGUAAAAAUAUUUUUUAAUUUUAGUCUUUUUUUAUUUUAUCUUUAAAGUUCACCUUCUUCUUAUGUCCAGGUUUCUUAUUAAAAUUAGCCAUCUUUGGAUUUGGAUUAAGUUUGGACUUGACCACCAAAUUUUCACCACUAACAAAUUCUCUCUUUUCAGAUUUUAACUCUAACUCUUUAUUUCUCAAUGCAUUUAUUAUCACGUCAUUAGUUAGAGUCUCCCUUCUAUAUUCAAUAGCAUUUUUAACAUCUCUAUAUUUAUCACUUAUUAAAUUUAACAAAAUCAUAGCCAACUGAUCUUUUGAGAGUUUCUCAUCACAGUCGGCUAGGUCACGAGAUAAUCUAUUGAAUCUAUCAAUGAUUGCCUCAAGAUCAAGAGAUAGGUCCAAUUUGAAACCAAAAAAAUAUUUUAGAAGAUACACUUUAUUAGGCAAGGUUUUAUUCAAAUAAGUAUCUUGCAAUUUUUUCCACAACUCAGCAGCAGUUUUUGUCUCAUCAAUCUCUCUUAACACAUUAUCAGAUAAAUGCAAGAAUAUAGAACUCCAUGCAAUUUCAUCAAGUUCAAUUAUCUCAGUUUCUUCCAUAUCAUUAGGCCAUGACUCAUCAAUGGCUUUUGCAAAUUUUUGUUGAAGUAAAAGGGCUCGCAUUUUCUGGCUCCAGAGACUAAAAUCUCUUUUACCAUUAAAGAUUUCCAGUUCAACUUUAGUUGACAUAAUAAAAACACAAUUUGAUUUUUAAUAGUACAGGCAGAUCACAUAAGUUUUGAACAGUAUCUACAACAUACAAAAUCUCAGAUGUCAUACACAGUAGUCAAUGUAAAGUAUACAACCAGCAAGUUGUAUAUUACAAAUUAUUUAGCAGAAACACUCAGCAGUUCAUUCAAUUACAAAAUAAGCAGUUUACUCGAAAAAUGGCAACACAUCAAGUCACAGCAACAUAAUCACAGCAUGCUUUAUACAUUCUAUAUAGGAUACUUGCAAGAAUUAUAAAAUGAAUGUUAAACUGUCGACUUUUAUUCAAGAUAGCCCUCAGAUUCCAGAUAAGUCAUGGUUUCUGGACAAAGGAACUAUCAAGAAGUCUUUGAUUUAUAAAUUUUACCACAGUUGCAAGGGUCACAUGAUAUAGACAAGUAAUGUAUAAUGUAACACGAAAUAAAUGGAACAAACUCACCAAAAAUCCCUUAUUGGGGUUUCAAGAAACAAGCUAAAUCUACUAAACGAGUCCAAGAUUUUUUCAGAUCUACCAUCACCGACACCAAGAACCACCGUAUACAAGCUCUGAUACCACUGUAACAAGUAGUUCACAAAUUAUUAGCCACUUCAAUCAAUAAAACCAGAAUUAAUAAUGCACAAAAAUAAACUGAAAGUAAUGUAAAGAACACAAUAUUUUUCUCCCUAAGGCAAGAGGUUCAUAACCGGAGUUCUUAAUUCCCUUUUGUGCUUCCACCACCAGAAGAAUUCAUUGCAUUAACUAGAAUCAUGAACCGUCCAAUAGUUAUAGAUCUGAGUCCCAGGCCAAGAAUCACUCAAGAUUACCGAUAACCCUCUCAAUAAUUCCUCAAUAGUUCACUCCAGAAUAGUAGUGUGAAAUCGGUUCGUAUACAAAUCACCCAAGACAAGUAUUACACGAUUUCACAAAAUAGAAUCAACAGCUAAAUGAUUCUACAAAGAUUUGUGAAGGAAAAAUAUGGCACUCAGAAAAUAUGAAGAUUAUUCUUCAGCUGCUUUGAGAGAGAGAAACCAAGAGAUGAAGAGAAAAUGAAAAAUCUACGAACCCUAGACUCAAGAGACCCGUAUAUAGGAAGUCUCUAGAAUGUCUCUAUCCAAUGGCCAUGAAGGUGACACUUGUCAUCAUCAAAUUUGUCUAGCCCAUUAGUAAACACAUAUUGCUGGAAAAGCACAUUUUCAAUUCAAAACCAUCAGUUUCUGCUUCAGCCUGCACGGUUCACUUUCAUUUAGUAAAGAAGCCAUUCAAAGUCCAUGAGUAGUUGGUGCCAAGACAGCCACAUCAUUGUGCCACAUUUCCUUACACUACGAAUUUGGGAUUUUUAUAAUUCUCACUCCAUUAACUGCUGAAUUUGUUUAGUAUACCUUUUUUAUCUCGAAUAUCAAUUAACUUUGUUUGAUUUGAGGGUUGCAUUGUUAAUAAUCACUCUCUUUCUAAUUGGUGAUGUUGGAUGGAGGAAUAGCUUUGCAAAGAGGGAGCAUGCACAAUCAAGAAAAGAAAUGGUUUUUUGGAUUAUACUUUUACUUUUUAGCUCUUACAACCAAAACUUUUAAAAUUCACAAUAUACGUUGAAAUUGCCAAUAAAUUUACUUAUAUUACUGAUAUAUGUGUAAUAUAUAUUUAUAUAUAAUUAAACUUUGUAUAUUUUAUAUUUGUUUGAUGGAACCUGGCCUACUCUAUUUGAGUCUUAAUCUUAGGGCCCAUUUGGCCCCAUUAUUCCACAUUAUAAUGAGAAGAAUAAUAAUUUUUUGAAGAAUGUAUGAUUAAAAUAAGAUGAAAAUUUUUUGAGCUUACGUGUAAUAUUAUUUUAUUAAAGAUUGUGUUAUUGAUAAGAAAAGAGAAAAAAUGAAUAAUAAUUUAAUGGAGGAAUAAUGAGGGCAAAACAGCCCAUUUUAAUUUAAUUAAAUAUUAAUAAAUAAUCUCCCUAUUGCGAUCAUUACAAUCAACGGUCAACGACAACCAUUACUUAUCAACAUUCCUGAAUUAGCCAUUGUAUAUAAUACAAUCAAUUAAAUAAAAUUUGACAUGAUAAGUGUCAAAUAUUGUUUAUUUUUCUUUUCUUCAGUCUUGCUUAAUAUUGUUACAUGUUGGUUCAACGGUUAUAUAGAACUAUCACAAGACAAGGCAACUUACAUAUUUUGUUUGUCAUUCUCUUUAAUUAUGUAUAAUUUAUUCACUCAAUAUAUCAAAGUUUACACUUUAUUUUUCUAGUAAUGAUAUUUAGAAUCAACGACUGCAAUGGUCACGUGUAAGGCAUCUUGUCACUUAAUAGUUUAUUGUAAUUGUGUUGUCACAAACAACAAAUUAAUGUGUCAAAUAACAUGUUGUCAUAUAAGAUGACUACUACUAUAAACAAGGGUGGAUCUAGGCUCGGGCUGGACGAGUUGCGACUACAGCCCCCAGCCCGACUUCGCCCAAGCCUAGAUCCGUUAGUCCACCAUUACCUUUUUUUUUUCUUUUUUAGUUGAGCCUAUUUAAAACUAAUUGAGCAGCUCGUGUCAAACCAAAAAAGGAAAAUUAAAUAAGCCUAAUUCCAACAAAAUGUGUUCGUAAAUGGACCAACUCUAAUUUUUUGGCCCAAUUUAUUACCCAUUUAAACUCAAACCCAAACCUAAUUUUAAUCCAAUUUUCUUCUUUUGACAUACCUGAGACCAUAGUAAAUAGAUGACGGCGAUUCCUCUCCAUUCUCCAACCCAUUACUCAGCAACCAAAGUCUUCAAACUUCCAAAUUUUCAAUCCUCUCAUAAAAUUUCUACAAAAUUAAGGAACCCUUUUCCAAAAUCAAAUAGUUCAUCUCUUAAAAGUUCUUUUACUCCAAAGUGGCUUUUGAACUGGACAAUGAAAGCCCAAGAAUGACUAAUCAAGAGGAGGGUGAAUUGGUUAUUUAAAACUUUUUCAAUAAUAAGUCCUAAUAAAAACAAUUUGCAAAUAUAAUAAAGAGCAAGCAAGAUAACUUGGAAAAAUAACAAGAGAAAGGGAUAGAGAAUGUAAAAGAUGUGUUAUGGAGGUUCGAUCCAAUCACAAUCUACGUCCCCCGUUACCAAGCUCUCCGUCAUGAGCAAGGCCUUUUUCACUAAACGUGAUUGACUUAUGGUGCAAUCCAACCUUCUACAAAGCUUUCGGUGACUUACAAACAAGGAGCACCAAUCAUUUUACAACAUUGAGCUUUUUGGGACCUCAACACGACCCACAAUUCAAUCAAGAAUAAACUUUACAAGAAAGGAAUCUUCUUCCACAAUAAAGAUAUAUUCAAAGUUGAGUACAAUGGAAAGAAGUAGGGUAACACUUUAAUGAAUGGCAAUAAGUGAAGCUCAAGUGUUAGGUUUGAAGAAAACUUUGAUAAAAGAAAUGAUUUUCAAAAGUAAACUCAAUCAAAAGUUUUCCAAAAGUGAAUGAAUUGAUAGAGGUAAAUAAAGAGUAGAGAGUUAAAGCUUGAAUGUAUCUCAAUUUAAUGCUCUUGGAAGUGAUGAUAAUGGAUGCAAAAUGUUGGGGUAUUUAUAGAGUCCAAAACGUUAAAAAAUCUGAAUUUGCGGAUGACUCGUCCGGUCGACUGCCUCUUGUCUGGAAGACCAAUAUAGCCGUUUGUAUAGUAAAAAUCAUAAGUCAGAACGGUCAAAUUCUGGACCGUUGGAGGAGUUCGGUCGACCGCCUCUCAUGGCCGGUCGACCGGUCCGAUUGACGGCCUCUCUGGGCGGUUGACCACCCCGGCAGUGCGGUCUUUUCACGUUUUGGCCUCGUUUGUUCCGAUUUGAAAGUUUUGAAGUGUAUGGACUUUUGGAAAAUAUUUUUAACUAAAUUUUCAUAAUAAGAAUGUCUUUAAAAUUCAUAUAUCAUUUUUAAAAGUCAUGUUCAUGUUUGAUCAAAAAGGUUGUAUUCGAAUUAUCUUAGUGCACAAAAAUUGUUUUUAAUGCAUAGCAAGAUUUAGAGCUUAACUAUUCUUUGCCAAAUAUCAAAGCAUUAGUAACUUUACAUUUUGCCCAAGAAAUCAAGUCUUUGCUCUGUACUAUGCCUCGUCUUAAUCUUUCAUUGAUGUCAUCUCUCACACUCUUGAUCUUGAUCUUUUUUUUUUUUUUUUAUCUCUUAACCUUUUUGUCUCGAAUAAUUUGACUUUAAUACAUGGCUUUCACUUUGAUCUUCAUUUGAAGUCCGAUAAUGCAUUAUUGAUUUGAACAUUGAACCAUCAUCACUAAAAAGAAUAUGUUAGAAAUAAAAAUAAUCUUGUUUGUUAUGAUCAAAACAUUUAGGAUUAAGCCGACCAUAUGCCAACAAUUUUCUCCUUUUUGAUUAUGACAAACAAGAUGAUUUGCAAGAUAAAUUUAACAAUUUAUAUCAAAAGAAUAUACAUUAGAAGAUUUAUCAUGUGAUCUAUUCCCCCUAUCCUUUACAAAUCAUGACCAUAUAUUCAAGGCAUGUAUUUUAUGUUCAAUUUAAAUCAUGCAUAAUCAUCUCACCAUAUUUCCCCCUUUUGGCAUAAGCAAAAAGAUAUAGUAUUUAAGAGCAAUAUAAAAUCAUACAACAUUCUCCCUUAAUUUAACACAGAAAGCAUAAAAAUAGUUUAGACGCCAUAUAUAAGCAAAUUUAAAGACAAUAGUAGUUAAUAGUUUAGACUCACAUAAAGAGUACAAUACAAAUGCAUAAAAUUAUAUUUAAGACUCCGGAGGAGGAGGAGGCGGGAAAAGUGCAUCAAACCAAGCAUAAAAUGCAUUUUACUGAGCUUGCAUGGCUUCCUACUGAGCAGUGUAAUAAGUAUAGAAAGCAUCUUGCUGAACUUGCAAUUGGUGAAGCAUUCCGCCAAUCCUGUGGAUAGAUGAGGUAAGAGAGUCAAGCCGGCCAUGUAGAAGAUUGUAGUGAUCCUUGGUAAAAGUAAAACGGCUCAAAGAUGGAGGAGCACUUUAUCCCGGAAUGUUAUGUGGAGGACUGGGAACGAUUGGUGUCUCGUUGGCCUGAUCAUCUUCCUCUUCAUCAUCUCCUUCGAAGGGUAGGUUGAAGGGCCCGAAUCCUGAUACGGGCCACCCAUUGCCCAUGCUCCUUGACAAUUUUCAUUCAUUUAAGAGUAUAAAUGUUGAUAAUUUCAGUAGGACGAAGAGAAACGGAGACUUCGCCAUUUAGAGGAAUUUCAAAAUGUUUAAAGAUCUUAGUAAGUAGCAUGCCAAAUGGUAUGGCCUUUAUCGAGUGGUGGAAUGGACUAUUUUCGUGUGACCAAUAACAAGAGUUGGAAAGUCUAUUUUUUGUCCGACUAAGAAUGAGUAAAUCGAAAUGAGUUACUUCAUCGAGAUGACCUUUCCUAGGUAGAAUAAUAUGGGCGAUGAUGUUGUGUAAAACCUUACAAGGUAAAGUUAAUUGAUUUGAACUAAGUUUUAUCAGGUGUUCAAAAUUAUUUUCGAUCACUCUACGGCAUGCAACAAUAGGAUUAUAACCUUCAAAUGUCGGAUGAGCCAUAUGACAAAACAUUUGAUUUGAACGAUCUUCUAACUCAAGAAGAGAAUGUAGAAGGGCAUGGGUAAUUGUAAUUCUUUUACCUUUGAGAAAACAAGAAAUACUACUCGGACGAGGAAUAUAAGCCAUGUUUUAGUAAAAUUCUUGCAUAAGCUUAGGAUAAGCAUUUUCUUCCAUUGAUGCAAUGGAAAUCCAACCCAUGCUUUCAAAGAACUCUGUUAUAUGGAAUGCAGGUGCUUGAAGUGUAAAAUCGCCAAAAUCUACAGUCUUACAUAUAAGAAUGGGAGAUUUAUCAAAGUGAUUUUCUGGCACUUCAGGUUCAUCCUCUGAUGAAGGAGUUGGUAGCCUCUCCCUCCUUGGCUUCUUUCCCGGCAUUUUUACUCUAGGCAUGAUGAUUUAAAUGUGGAAAAAUUUUAAAACCCGGUCGAUCAUUGAAAAGAGAGAAGAAAGAGUUGGAGUUGGAAAGAAAUGGGAAUUUUAAGAGAAAAAGUGAUGGGUUUUUCAAAUCUUGUGGAAAUUUCAAGAAAAAGUUGUAGAUCUAGGUGAAUUUGAUGUAGAUCUAAGAGGAAGAAGAGGAGAAGUGAGAAAAAAUUGAGGAGAAAUGAAGAUGAAAGGGUUUUAAAACCCGAAAAUCACAUCGUUCCGGUCGACCGGACGUCAAAUUUUUAUAUAUUUUUUUUUUGUUCCAAAACUCUGAUUUUUCGGUAGACCUUUUUUGAUCGACCGGAAGCCAUCUGGCAAAUUUUUUUUUUUUUGUUCCAAAACUCUGGUUUUCUGAUAAACCUUUUCCAGUCGAUCGGAAGUCAUUUUUUUUUUUUUGUUCCAAAACUCUGGUUUUCCGAUAAACCUUUUCCAGUCGAUCGGAAGUCAUUCGGCAAAUUUUUUUUUAUUUUUUUUACCAUGGAGUUAAAAAUCAUGUAAAAACACGAGUGAUAAAAAGUUUAAAGUUAUAUCACUUCACUUUCGUUAAUAAUUCCUAAACCUCUUCUAAUAUGAGAGAAUCGAUCAUGUGCUAGAGGCUUGGUAAAAAUAUCGGCUAAUUUGGUCCUCGGUUUUGAUAAAUUCUAAUUCAAUAUCUCCCUUUUAUACAUGAUCACGAAGAAAGUGGUGACGAGUUUCAAUAUGUUUAGUUCGUGAUUGCAAGACGGGAUUUUUAGAUAAAUUAAUAGCACUAGUGUUGUCACAUAAGAUAGGCGCAUAAUCAUAAGAUAGGUGUAGUCACAAAGGGUUUGUUUCAUCCAAAGUGUUUGUGCACAACAACUUGUGGCCGAGAUGUAUUCCGCCUUGGCAGUGGAUAAUUCAACGGAAUUUUGUUUCUUGCUUGACCAAGACACAAGUGCAAAGCCUAGAAAGUGGCAAUUUCUGCUAGUGCUUUUGCGACAACUAAUUAGAUCAAUGUGAGUACCCUUUGGAUACCAAAGUCCUAAGGUUUUAGUUCCACUAAGAUAUCGAAAAAUUCUUUUUACGGCACGUAGAUGUGAUUCCUUAGGAUUAGAUUGAAAUCUAGCACAUACGCAUACACUAAACAUAAUAUCGGGUCUACUAGCAAUUAAAUAAAGAAAGGAUCCUAUCAUACCUCGAUAUUUUGUGAUAUCAAUCGGAGUGCCAUGCUCGUCUUUGUCAAGCUUUAAAGUCGUGCUCAUCGAUGUGUUCAUGGGCUUAAUGUCAUGCAUAUCAAAUUUUUUGAGCAUUUCAAAGAUGUACUUAUUUUGGUUUAUGAAAAUUCCGUCUUUUGUUUGUUUAAUUUGAAGGCCAAGGAAAAAUUUUAGUUCUCCCAUCAUACUCAUUUCAAAUUCUUUAUUCAUACAAUUUGAAAAUUCUUCACAAAGACUAAUAUUUGUAGCGUCAAAAAUGAUGUCAUCAACAUAAAUUUGAAUGAUAAGCAUAUCCUCCUUAUGAGUUUUUAUGAAAAGUGUAGUAUCCGCUUUUCCAAUAGAAAAAUCAUUUCAAAGUAGAAAUUUGCUUAAACGUUCAUACCAAGCUCUUGGAGCUUGUUUCAAGCCGUAGAGGGCUUUUCUAAGUUUAAAAAAUGAUCCGGAUAAUUAUGAUUUUUAAAACCGGGAGGUUGCUUAACAAAAACUUCUUUUUGAAUAAAUCCAUUCAAGAAUGCACUUUUCACGUCCAUUUGAUAAAGUGUAAAACCUUUAAAACAUGCAAAUGCAAGAAGUAUACGAAUGGAUUCUAGUCUCGCUACAUGUGCAAAUGUUUCUUCAAAAUCGAUACCUUCUUCUUGAUUGUAACAUUGGGCCACUAAUCGAGCCUUGUUACGCACAAUUAUUCCAUUUUAAUCUCUUUUGUUUCUAAAGAACCAUUUGGUACCAAUAACGGUUUGAUGAUUUGGUCUAGCGACUAAGUCCCAAACAUGAUUUCUUUCAAAUUGAUUUAAUUCUUCUUGCGUCGCUACAAUCCAAAACUCAUAAAACUCUGCUUCUUUAAAAAUUUUAGGUUCGAUUUGAGAAACAAAUGUACAACUACCAAAAUGAUUUUCAUAAGAAGUUCUAGUAGUAAUACAUUCCGAUGGAUCACCAAUAAUAAGCUCCUUAGGAUGGGAUGGAAAAAAUAUCCAUUCCUUUGGUAACGAGGGAUUAUUUUGUUCUUCGGUUUGUCUUUCCUCAUUUUCUUGAGCAUUUGAUUUUUCCUUUUCUUCAUUUGGUGCCUCCUUAUUUUGGUCUUGAAUUUUCAUUUGUUCAAAAGGAGCUUCCAAUCAUAUAUCAUCAUCACUACCUUUCUCUCGAUCAAAAGAGUUAGUCUCGUCAAAAAUAACAUGCAUAGAUUCUUCAACGACUAGAGUUCGUUUGCUAAACACUCUAUAAGCUAUGCUAGUUGAUGAGUAUCCUAGGAAAAUUCCAACAUCAGACUUGGAGUCGAAUUUUCCUAAAUUGUCUUUUGUAUUUAAAAUAAAACAUUUACAUCCAAAAACUUUGAAAUAAUUAAUAUUUGGAAUUCUAUUUUUCCAAAGUUCGUAAGGUGUUUUAGUUUUUUUAUUCUUUUUUUUUUUUUUUUUUUUUUUGCUCACUAAAAUUCUAUUGAUGACGUAGCAAGUGGUAUUAAGAGCCUCUACCCAAAAGUACUUAGGCAAAUUAUUUUCAUUUAACAUGGUCCGAGCCAUUUCUUGCAAUGUGCAAUUCUUCCGUUCUACUACACCAUUUUGUUGAGGUGUUCUAGGAGCGAAAAAGUUAUGUUCAUAUCCAUGUUCUUUACAAAAAUCAUCAAAACCAACAUUAUCAAAUUCUUCACCAUGGUCACUUCUAAUUGUUGCAAUAGAAUAGCCUUUUUCAUUUUCAACUUUUUUACAAAAAUGUUUAAAAACUUUCAAGGCUUCUUCUUUUAAACUUAAAAAUAUGACUCAAGUGAAUCUUGAAAAAUCGUCGACUAUAACAAAGGUGUAAUGUUUACCAUCUAAGCUAGCCAUCCUAGAAGGUCCAAAAAGAUCCAUGUGGAGAAGUUCUAAAGGUUUUGUAGUUGAAGAAUAAAGUUUAGGUUUGAAAUAAUUUUUUACUUGUUUUCUAAACUGACAAGCAUUACAAAUUUUAUCUUUUUCAAAUUUUAAAUUUGGCAAACCUUUUAUAAAACAAUUUUUAGAAAUUCUCUUCUAUGCCAUAGCCAUUAUUCUUCUCUCAAGCUAAGUAAACAAUUUUCAUUAUUUUCAAAUUCAAUGUUUAUAAUAUAAAUAUCUUUACUUCGGUUUCCUAUGAAAAUCACCUCUUUAGAUGUAGCAUCCUUAAUAAGACACUUUGAAGAAUCAAAUUUUAUGUUAUAACCUUUAUCACAUAAUUGACUAAUACUUAGUAAAUUAUGUUUGAGGUUAUCAACAAGUAAAACAUUUUCAAUUGAGGGAGUUGAGUGAUUACCAAUGUUUCUAAUACCAAUAAUUUUACCUUUGGCGUUAUCCCUGAAGGUUACAUGUCCUCCAUUCUUUUCUUUGAAAUUUGAUAGCAAGGAUCGAUCUCCGGUCAUAUGCCUUGAACAACCGCUAUCUAAGAACCAUUUGCUUUUAGUUUUCUUUGGUUCCUACAAAAAAAAAAAUUUAAGUUUUGAUUUUUGGUACCCAUACAAACUUGGGUCCUUGAUAGUUAGCUUUAGUAGAUUCUCAAAUCCACUUAUGCUUGUUUUCAAAAAAUAGCUUCUUUUUAGCUACACAAUCAAAGGCUACAUGUCUACUCUUAUUACAAAAACUAUGUCCACUUAUUACAAAUACUACAUGUAGUGUUAGAAGUUUUAACAAACAUAUUUUUGAGGCAUUUUUGUUUUAAAGAGGGUUUAUAUCCUAUUCUCCCUUUAAAAAAUGCAUUUUUGACUACCGAGAUUAAAUCAAAAUUUUUCUUUCCCAUCGGUGAAUUUAUGAAUGAUUUUUGUUAAGUCGUCCACUUUUUCUUUCAAAGCAAUGUUCUCUUUUACUACAAAAUCAUGAUCAACAUUUUCUUGUUGCUUUUUCAAAAUUUUAUUUAUUUCUUCUUUCAACAAAGAAUUUUUCUUUUUAAGGAUAGCAUGACUUAAGGCAAGGUUUUCAAAUUUCUCAAGCAUUUCAUCAUAAGAAUUUGAAAGCUCAUCAUAAGAAUAUUUUUCAUCUAAACGUACCUCGUCUUCGAUUGCCAUGAAGCACAUAUUUGCCACUUCAUUUUGACUAUCAUUUUCACUUUGUUCUUCAUUGUCGCUAUCAUCCCAUGUUGCUUGGAGUGCCUUUUUCUUGAAAUUUUACUUUUUAUUUGGGCAUUCGAUUCUCUUGUGGCAUGGCUUAUAUCAAUAAUAGCAAAUAAUCUUUUUACUUCUUUCUUCCCCUUUUUCCUCUUUCUUUUGAAAUUUUCGAUUAUUGCAAAAGCCUCUCCAUUUCUUAACAAGAAAAACCAAGUCAUCGAGCUCUUCAUCGCUCAUGUCUUCUUUUGAUGUUCCUUCUUCAAUUGCCGAUUUUAGUGCAAUUUGUCGUUUGAGAAGCUCCUUUGAUUCCUCCUUGCUUUUUCUUAUUUUCUCCUUAACUUCGGCAUUAUUUAGCUCAUAGGUCAUUAAUGUGUCAUAGAGCUCCUACCAUGGAUAUGCAUUUAUAUCCUUGGUAUUUUCAAUUAACAUUCUUAUCGGGCUCCACUCCUCCGACGAGGACCUAAGCAUUUUACUUAUAAGUUCACCGUUUGUAAAUUUACGAUCAUAACCUUAAGAUCAUUUAAAAUAUCGGUAAAACAUGUAAUCAUAUUAACAAUGGGUUCAUCUUGUUUCAUAAAGAAAUUUUCCAAUUCUUUAACCAACAAAUUUAUUUUUGUUUCUUUAACCUUGCUUGUGCUAACAUGAGUGACUUCAAGAGCAUGCCAAAUAUCAUAUGCCAAUUCACAUGUGCUUAUUCUAUUAAAUUCAUUUCUAUCAAGUGCACAAUAAAGCAAAUUUUUAGCCUUGGCAUUUAAGAACAAUUUUCUCUUAUCUUCUUCAUCAUAUUCUUCCCUAGUUUUAGAAAUAGUUUGAUUCGGUUUACCAUCUAUUUUAAUAGUUUUAGUAAGAACAUAUAGACCAAAUUCAAUAACUUCCCAAAUAUUAUAAUCAAUAGAUUGCACAUAUAUCAUCAUUCAAGCUUUCCAAUAAUUGUAGUGUGUGCCAUCAAAAAAAGGGGCGUCGAUUAGUGGAGUGUCCCUCUAGAGUUUGAAACACUUGGUUAGCCAUUAUUCAAGAUUGUAAAAUCUUUUGAAAGUGAGUACAUCGCUUUGAUACCAAUUGAAAGCCUAAGAAUGACUAACCAAGAGGGGGCUGAAUUGGUUAUUUAAAACAUUUUCAAUAAUAAAUGCUAAUAAAAAUAAUUUGCAAAUAUAAUAAAGAGCAAGCAAGAUAACUUGGAAAAAUAACAAGAGAAAGGGAUGGAAAAUGCAAACGAUAUGUUAUGAAGGUUCAAUCCAAUCACGAUCUACAUACCCCGUUACCAAGCUCUCUGUCACGAGCAAGGCCUUUUUCACUAAAUGUGAUUAAAUUAUGGUGCAAUUCAACCUUUUACAAAGCUUUUGGUGACUUACAAACAAAGAGCAUUAAUCCUUUUACAACAUUGAGCUUUCUGAGACCUCAACACGACCCACAAUUCAAUCAAAAGUAAACUUUACAAGAAAGUAAUCGUCUUCCACAACAAAGAUAUAUUCAAAGUUGAGUACAAUGGAAAGAAGUAGGGUAACACAUUAAUGAAUGGCAAUAAGUGAAGCUCAAGUGUUAGGUUUGAAGAAAACUUUGAUAAAUGAAAUGAUUUUCAAAAGUAAACUCAAUCAAAAGUUUUCCAAAAGUGAAUGAAUUGAUAGAGGUAAAUUAAGAGUAGAGAGUUAAAGCUUGAAUGUAUCUCAAUUUAAUGCUCUUGGAAGUGAUGAUAAUGGAUGCAAAAUGUUGGGGUAUUUAUAGAGUCCAAAACGUUAAAAAAUCUGAAUUUGCGGAUGACUCGUCCGGUCGACUGCCUCUUGUCUGGAAGACCAAUAUAGCCAUUUGUAUAGUAAAAAUCAUAAGUUAGAACGGUCAAAUUCUGGACCGUUGGAGGAGUUCGGUCGACCGCCUCUCAUGGCCGGUCCGGUUGACGGCCUCUCUGGGUGGUUGACCACCCCGGCAGUGCGGUCUUUUCACGUUUUGGCCUCGUUUGUUCCGAUUUGAAAGUUUUGAAGUGUAUGGACUUUUGGAGAAUAUUUUUAACUAAAUUUUCAAUAAAAAUGUCUUUAAAAUCCAUAUAUCAUUUUUAAAAGUCAUUUUCUUGUUUGAUCAAAAAGGUUGCAUUCGAAUUAUCUUAGUGCACAAAAAUUAUUUUUAAUGCAUAGCAAGAUUUUGAGCUAAACUAUUCUUUGUCAAAUAUCAAAGCAUUAGUACCUUUACAUUUUGCCUAGGAAAUCAAGUCUUUGCUCCGAAGUAUGCCUCGUCUUGAUAUUUCAUUGAUGCCGUCUCUCAGGCUCUUGAUCUUGAUCUUUUUUUUUUUUUUUUUUUUGGCAUUUAUCUCUUAAGCGUUUUGUCUCGAAUAAUUUGACUUGAUUACAAGGCUUUCACUUUGAUCUUCAUUUGAAGUCCAAUUAUACAUGAUUGAUUUGAACAUUGAACCAUCAUCACUAAAAAGAAUUUGUUAGAAAUAAAAAUAAUCUUGUUUGUUAUGAUCAAAACAUUUAAGAUUAAGUCGACCAUAUGCCAACAGACAACUGGUAAGUAUUUUCAGUUUCAAAAUUCAAAAUUUAGUAACUUUAGUUUCUUAGAUUUUAUUACUUGGGCCGUCUUUUAUCUAUAUUUUUCAUUAAUAAUUUAAUAUUGAUUAUUGAGUAUGAGUUUUUGAAAAAUACAUGUUUUUUUUUUGUUUGCAGUUUGCAGUUUGUUUAAAUGGCCUGAUAUUUAUUUUUAUUUUUUAGUACUUGAGCAUUUUUUAAAUUUUCAGAUUUGAGAAUUCAAUUGAUAUUAAUUUUGACAAGAGCUUUUCGCCUUAAUUAGAUUGUGGAGUAAAAGUUCAUUCUAAAUUGUAAUAUAGAAUUCCUCUUCAUCAACAAGCUUAAUUGAAUUAUUUUUGAAUUUCAAAUGCAGUAACUUUUUCACGGCAUGAAUGCAGACCCGUAGAAAUGUAGGAAAGGGAAACUACAAAAGCUUAAAUAUACUCCCUAGUAAGUAAAUGUCGUCAUCUCCCUACUUGCGGCCUUGUCAACUUAAUAACUUUUGUUGACAUAUUGUCUUGACAGCUUAAUGAUUGUUGUCUUUGCCUUGUGGGGCAAUCGGCUUAAUGAAUUAUUUUCAUUGCCUUUUCGACUUAAUGAAUUAUAUUUACUUUUAAAUUUUAACCCGUGCGCUAAAAAUUCCUGGAUUUGUCCCAGACUAAAUCACAUUACUCUUAUUUUUUACAUGUUUUAUUUGUGUCACCUAACCUUCAAACAGGACAGAAAAAAUGAUCAGUGUGGAGUGGAAUUUAGGUCCACACAACUCAUAUGGAAAUGGAGUUUUCGAGUGAGGCCCACAAUAAACUCGACGUUGGAAGAAAAGUUGUGGAGAUAUUUCAAGAAAAUAAUGUCAUUUUCUUGAUUUCAAAACAAAUAACCCAGAGGCAUAUCGCCACCCAUUAAUGUAGGGCAGGUGUGUACGCAUAGUUGAAGACAAAUAGACAUUGACCAUAAAAAUUGAGUAAUUGUUUUAGAUAUUCGUUAGUGUGCAUUAAUGCAGUACCCUUUGCUUGUAUAAAUGAACAAAUUAAUCUUUGUAUUUUCUUUUCCUUAUUAAAGAAAACUGUUUGCUGUAGAAAUUGAUGCAAGUGGGAGGACAAAUGAGCAGGAAAAGAUUAACGUGUAGAAAUGAUUCCAUAGAUGUAACUAGAAUAAUUGUCAAAGGAUAAGGAAAGAGUUAGGAUUCAUU
This 19889-nucleotide long non-coding RNA is filed under the name Olea europaea subsp. europaea. The record is from RNAcentral. Lineage: Eukaryota; Viridiplantae; Streptophyta; Magnoliopsida; Lamiales; Oleaceae.